UACGGAGGAGGCAAGCGUUGUUCGGAAUCACUGGGCUUAAAGCGCGUGUAGGCGGGGUGUAGGGUGUUCAGUGAAAGCCCUCGGCUCAACCGAGGAAUGGCUGGGCAAACCGACACUCUUGAGGCAGGCAGAGGUAACCGGAACCUUUGGUGGAGCGGUGAAAUGCGUAGAGAUCAAAGGGAACGCCGGUGGCGAAAGCGGGUUACUGGGCCUGAACUGACGCUGAGACGCGAAAGCGGGGGUAGCAAACAGGAUUAGAUACCCUGGUAGUCCACGCUGUAAACGAUGCGCACUAGGUAUGGGAAGUCUGACGCUUUUCGUGCCGUAGCAAAAGCGUUAAGUGCGCCGCCUGGGGAGUACGGCCGCAAGGCUAAA
Molecule: ribosomal RNA, 375 nt
Filed under: uncultured bacterium
Lineage: Bacteria
Description: bacterial SSU rRNA
Rfam family: Bacterial small subunit ribosomal RNA
Source: RNAcentral